This 66-nucleotide transfer RNA is filed under the name Mierspenaeopsis hardwickii. RNAcentral describes it as "tRNA-Gly". The record is from RNAcentral. Lineage: Eukaryota; Metazoa; Arthropoda; Malacostraca; Decapoda; Penaeidae.
ACUUUCUUAGUAUAAUAGUAUCUCUGGCUUCCAACCAGAAGGUCUAAGAACAUCUUAGAGUAAGUA